CGACAAAGUAUAAACAUCGUAUUUUGGACGAGAUCCAGCGUGGUCGCCAUUAUAUUAUAUUAUGAUACGUGCGCACCCAGGCCACUCUGAACGACGGGCACGUCAAAGUCUGACAUCGUGAUCAUCGACUUUCUGAAAAUCGAGCCCAAGUCGUAUACUGCGCCAUUGCUGUAGCCGCUGCCGCCGCCGUCUCAGCCAGAUGUGUUUAAUAAUAAUAAAAUACAUUUAUUAUUAUUACAGUGGCGACGCGAGUUAUAAUAAACCACUGAAACUGUGUCAAACGAUCCGGGGACCGCGGAUUAUGUAAACGGUGGGGCGAGGCAUCGUGCAGUUUGUGGCGGCGGUGGAUAAGAGAACAUCAUACGCAUACCUACCCAUUUGAAUUUCGUGAGAAGACUUGCUGCUGUGAUUUGACACACCAUACACCAAACUGUAUAUAUAUUGCUGAUGACAUUACAUGUACCUAUACGUCGUAUAUAUUGUAAGUACACGUACAUAAACAAGAAAGAAUGUCGGAAUGUCUACUUCCUGUACACAGGAAGCGUUCGGUCACAUCACACACUUCGAUUGUUCACAAAGGUUAUAAAGGAACGAUUGUCGCAAAAACUACCUAUAUGUGCACUGUCAAUUGGCAUUAAACCACACAGACAUGUUAUUAAAAGUGUCAUCAACUGCCUAUAUACGUAUGUACGGUUUACAGUACUUUCAGCUUAAAAGCCGAAGAAUGCACUCCGAGUGGUUAAUAAAGCAGUAAGCCGCUUAUGUAUACAUGCGAGCAACUGCACUAAAAAUAUAUCCACUUCGAUACCCAAUAUCAGUAACGACCUUUUUAUGUAUACCAUAAUCAAAUAUAUAUUGUUUAUUUCUAAAUACCUCCGGUAUCGUAAAAAUAAUAAUUUAUAGUCAACCUGCUACAAUAUGCAUGACAAUACUUAAACAUACAUAUUUUAAGUUAUACGCCUAACAUAUACUCAGAUAUUAUAUAAUAUCAAUCAUAUAC
Long non-coding RNA from Rhopalosiphum padi (bird cherry-oat aphid), 1000 nucleotides. RefSeq lists it as uncharacterized. The transcript is spliced from 3 exons. The record is from RefSeq and is a predicted model, not a curated record. Lineage: Eukaryota; Metazoa; Arthropoda; Insecta; Hemiptera; Aphididae.